GUGCUCGCUUCAGUAGCACAUAUACUAAUAUUGGAAUGAUACAGAGAAGAUUAUCAUGGCCCCUGCACAAGGAUGACACGCAAGUUCAUGAAGUGUUCCAUAUUUUU
This 107-nucleotide small nuclear RNA is filed under the name Mus spicilegus (steppe mouse). Lineage: Eukaryota; Metazoa; Chordata; Mammalia; Rodentia; Muridae. The record is from RNAcentral.